AAAAGUCCAUCCCCAAAUUCAAAAUUUUUCAAAAAACUUUUCACCAGCAAGGGAAAACGACUCCAUUCUAUAAAAGGAAGGGGCAACGGAUUCUCCGGAUCGAUUGAAGAUCCUUGGCGGGAAACGUGGCUCAAUCUUGAGCCAAAUAGGAUGGAAUUGUGUGCUUGGACCUGCUGGACAUCGUACAUAAGGAAAAGGGACGUUGGAGAAGAAAACAAUAUUCUGCAGCAUACGUCCUUGCUGCUUGCUCAAUCGACUCGCUCUCGAGUGAGGCGCUGACUCCAGAUUUUUUUGGGUUG
RNAcentral lists this unclassified non-coding RNA (299 nucleotides) under Hevea brasiliensis (rubber tree). The record is from RNAcentral. Lineage: Eukaryota; Viridiplantae; Streptophyta; Magnoliopsida; Malpighiales; Euphorbiaceae.